UGAGGAAUUUUGCGCAAUGGGCGAAAGCCUGACGCAGCAACGCCGCGUGGGGGAUGAAGGCCCUCGGGUUGUAAACCCCUUUUCUGGGGGAAGAUAAUGACGGUACCCCAGGAAUAAGUCACGGCAAACUACGUGCCAGCAGCCGCGGUAAUACGUAGGUGGCAAGCGUUGUCCGGAUUUACUGGGCGUAAAGCGCGCGUAGGUGGUUUCGCAAGUCCGUGGUGAAAUCUCUUGGCUUAACCAAGAGGGGUCUGCGGAUACUGCGGGACUUGAGUGGCGUAGACGAAAGUGGAAUUCCGGGUGUAGUGGUGAAAUGCGUAGAUAUCCGGAGGAACACCAGUGGCGAAGGCGGCUUUCGAGGCGCUAACUGACGCUGAGGCGCGAAAGCGUGGGGAGCGAACCGGAUUAGAUACCCGUGUAGUCC
Molecule: ribosomal RNA, 424 nt
Filed under: uncultured bacterium
Lineage: Bacteria
Description: bacterial SSU rRNA
Rfam family: Bacterial small subunit ribosomal RNA
Source: RNAcentral